This 476-nucleotide ribosomal RNA is filed under the name Lirceolus sp. Slaughter Bend. Its description in RNAcentral is "partial 16S ribosomal RNA". It matches the Rfam family "Bacterial large subunit ribosomal RNA", at positions 1893 to 2597 of the family's 2925-position model. The record is from RNAcentral. Lineage: Eukaryota; Metazoa; Arthropoda; Malacostraca; Isopoda; Asellidae.
CUCUUGAGAACCUCUCCAGGUAUCCCCUGCCCUAUGGACUCUUUAAUGGCCGCAGUAUCUUGACUGUGCAAAGGUAGCAUAAUCAUUUGUUUCUUAAUUGGAAGCUGGCAUGAAGGGGAGGAUGAAAAACAAUCUUUUGAAGAGGAGGAUUAAUUUGACUUAAGAGUUAAAAGGCUCUUAUACUUCUGGGGGACGAUAAGACCCUAUAAAACUUUACUUUAAGGGGCCUUUUUUAUAGGAAGGAGAGGAGAGGAGAGUUUAACUGGGGCGGUUUAUAUAAAAACUAUAUAAAAAAAAAUAUAAAAUAUAGAGAAGAAUAACUUAUUUUUAAAUUUAAACAAGUUACUUUAGGGAUAACAGCAUAAUCCCCUUAGAGAGUUCAAAUCGGUAAGGGGGCUUGUGACCUCGAUGUUGAAUUGGGGGCUAUCUUUUGGGCAGCUUUAAAAGAAGUUAGUCUGUUCGACUAUUAAAACCCC